RNAcentral lists this ribosomal RNA (498 nucleotides) under uncultured bacterium. RNAcentral describes it as "partial 16S ribosomal RNA". It matches the Rfam family "Bacterial small subunit ribosomal RNA", at positions 30 to 523 of the family's 1533-position model. The record is from RNAcentral.
AUUGAACGCUGGCGGCAUGCUUUACACAUGCAAGUCGAACGGUAACAGGCCGCAAGGUGCUGACGAGUGGCGAACGGGUGAGUAAUGCAUCGGAACGUGCCCAGCCGUGGGGGAUAACGCAGCGAAAGCUGUGCUAAUACCGCAUACGAUCUAUGGAUGAAAGCGGGGGACCGUAAGGCCUCGCGCGAUUGGAGCGGCCGAUGUCAGAUUAGGUAGUUGGUGGGGUAAAGGCUCACCAAGCCAACGAUCUGUAGCUGGUCUGAGAGGACGACCAGCCACACUGGGACGGAGACACGGCCCAGACUCCUACGGGAGGCAGCAGUGGGGAAUUUUGGACAAUGGGCGCAAGCCUGAUCCAGCAAUGCCGCGUGCAGGAAGAAGGCCUUCGGGUUGUAAACUGCUUUUGUACGGAACGAAACGGCGAGCUCUAAUACAGUUUGCUAAUGACGGUACCGUAAGAAUAAGCACCGGCUAACUGCGUGCCAGCCGCCGCCGUAA